RNAcentral lists this ribosomal RNA (253 nucleotides) under uncultured bacterium. RNAcentral's name for it is "partial 16S ribosomal RNA". It matches the Rfam family "Bacterial small subunit ribosomal RNA", at positions 524 to 776 of the family's 1533-position model. The record is from RNAcentral.
UACGUAGGUGGCAAGCGUUGUCCGGAUUUAUUGGGUUUAAAGGGUGCGUAGGUGGUCAAUUAAGUCAGUGCUGAAAUAUCCCGGCUUAACCGGGAGGGUGGCAUUGAUACUGAUUGACUUGAGUAGAGUUGAGGUAGGCGGAAUUGACGGUGUAGCGGUGAAAUGCUUAGAUAUCGGGAGGAACACCUGUGGCGAAGGCGGCCCCCUGGUUGGAUACUGACGCUGAUACGCGAAAGCGUGGGGAGCAAACAGG